UGCAAAGCAUUGACACGGCCCAGAGAGGAGAGGGGGCGCCCUCCUUCUCCCGCGCCCGGCGGCCCGGCAGCUCUGGCCCGCGCCCCAGCUUGGCCUCCGACCCCGCUCCCGGCCGUGGCGCCGCCCGGGCCCCUGCACUCCGGAGGGAGGCUGCGGGUGCUGGAAAGAGAGGCCGGUGGGCGGGCGAGUCGGGAGGCGCUGGCUGCCGAGGUCCCGGAGCGGAACCCAGGUGGCGGGAGCUGGUGAGAUUCUGGGAAUUGGAAGAACCCAAACAAUCUGCCUUGGAUGACACAGAGAGCCAGGUUCAUACAGGUGAGAAGAGAAGAAUCAUUUUGCAGCUAGGCUAACCAUUCAGGAUGCUUGGCCUGCUUCUGAGGGUGGAGAGGAAGUUUACACACAGCCCUCUGUCAUAGGAUUCCUAUGGUAAGGCUCAGAAGACACUGCAAGACAAACAGUAUCCUCGGAAACCUAACAACUCCUUGAAUGGAAAAAUGUCAUGGAACUGUAUCUCUCAAGACAGGCCCUUCCAAAGAAGUUGCUCGGCAGAGACUUGGCCUCAGUGCCCGCGAGGAGCGAGAUGAAAACCAGCACAGUUUGGACAGUGCGGGACCCCCACUGGAGCUGGGGUGCCUGGGGAUGCUUUCCAUCGGGCGUGGAGGUUGAGGGUAGCUGUGGAACCAUCUGUGAAGGUCCUCAGUGAAUAGACCAACACACUUCAGAAAUAUCAUCAUGGCUGCCUGCGGUGGGCACAGAAGUGGCAUCAAAGCGUGGACUGGUGAUCCACCUUGCUGAAAGCUUGGCUAGUGCUUUGCUUGGGUCCCUUGUCCUACAGGGACCUCCUUGACUUCUGGCCUCAUUUCCUGGCCUGGCAGCCCAUGGGGGAGGGGGUGGGGCUCAGCUUGGUAUCACUUGAAUUUAUCACACAAGGUGUGUUUGGGGCUUGUUCUGCACCUGAAACAGUGGGGUGCCCGGGAACUGUCAUUUCCUGCCUUGACAUGUCCAAGUAUUUGUUUAGCCCUGGCUGGUGGCAUUGACUAGCAGCCCAGGCAUGGAAACAAAGGCGGAUGUAGGGAAAAGUUGAGCCGCUGCAGGAACACACACGGGAGAGCACUGAGGCGUAGAAACCUUCACAAUGAAAAUAAUCCCUUACACUCACACUGCCUUACCCUUUACAAGGUGCUUUCACAGGCCUUUCUCCCCUUAAUCCUCACAACACCCCUAGGGAGGAAGGCAAGGCAACUAUUACUAGUCCCCAUUUCACAGCUGACGAAAUAAGUGCAGGGAGUUAAGUGGGGGGCAGAGCGUAGACCAGGGAACCCCAUCCUGUGCUCCACACCUGUGCUACUCAAAGUGCGGGCCCCCAACCAGCAGCAGCAGGAAGCCCGUUAGAAAUGGAGGCUCUCAGGCCCCACCCGAGACAUGAAUGAAUCAGGAUCUGCGUUGAAGUCGGAACCCCAGGGGAUCCGUGUGCACAAUAAAGCUGGAGACUGCUGCUGACACCGCCCGCCCCUCCCC
This is a long non-coding RNA of Balaenoptera acutorostrata (minke whale), 1515 nucleotides long. RefSeq lists it as uncharacterized. NCBI's taxonomy places the organism in Eukaryota, Metazoa, Chordata, Mammalia, Artiodactyla, Balaenopteridae. The record is from RefSeq and is a predicted model, not a curated record. The transcript has 5 exons.